Anolis carolinensis (green anole) is the source of this 7270-nucleotide long non-coding RNA. RefSeq lists it as uncharacterized. The transcript has 3 exons. The record is from RefSeq and is a predicted model, not a curated record. NCBI's taxonomy places the organism in Eukaryota, Metazoa, Chordata, Lepidosauria, Squamata, Anolidae.
AACAUAUGAGCACUCACCUAUACUGUGGAAAGGGAUGUUGAAUGAUUCAAAAACUAUUCUGAACAAUUCCUUUGGACAUAAAUUAUCUCCUGAAGUUUUAUUUAUUUACAUCAUUUAUAUACCGCCUUCCUCCCCAAGGACACCCAAAGCGGUUUACAACAUAAUAUAUUCUGCAUUAUGCAGACUUGUCUCCACCAGCCUUGCCUUUCAGGGGUCUUCCCAAAGGGUCUGCUCUUAGCUAUGGUAUCCUUUGCCAUAGAGUGCAGAUGUGUAUGCACAGGGGCAUGCAGUGUGUGGACCAGAAACCAAUAGCUGGUUUAAGGAGCUGAUGUGCAAAAAGGAAGCUACUAGCUGAGAAGGGAGAAGAUGCUUUUCUGCAUACACACACACACACACAUAUAUAUACACACAUAUACAUAUACAUACAUACACAUACAAGGUGUUUUAAAAAGAACUCCCUAUUCGCCAUUUAAAUUAAAUGGUGAAUAGGGAGUACUUUUUCAAACACCCUGUAUAUAAUUUCAUAAGCAUUUUGAGCUUGAUAACAAAAGGUGGGAUAGCCGAUUAUUAUCUGUAUAGUUUAAGACAAUUUUAUAACAGUCUGUAGUCUGUGGUGUGAAGACAUGGAAUUCCCUUGGUUAAUUAAGUGCAACAUCACAUAAUGGUUAGCUAUGUGUAACAUCAAAACAAUGCAAGUAGUCUGAUAAGCUUAAUGUUGUUCAACUUACCAAUUUUAAUAACAUUUUAUUUUCUGUUAAGUGCUAAAUGUUUAGAGACUUCUUUGUUUUGUUUUUUUGCUGAACAUUUGGAGAGAUACAUUUUUCCUCACACAUCUAUAAAUAGAAAGGAAUUAAUAUUUCCUUUUAAAAUGUAUUUAUAAAAACUGAUAAUUAAGUGGGUGGAUCUAGAUUAUUUUUCAAGAUGUCUCUUCCUGAUUACUAUAGCAUUACUCACUACUAUGUAAGUUAGCCAUUAGGGAUUUUUAAAAAAAAUACUUAAUUUCAGGAAGUGACAUAAUUCUCCCUUCCUUCUGGUCAUUAAUAUGAUACAGUUAUAGGCCACAAUUUUUCUUGAAAUUAACUAUUCCUGGCAUUAGUUGUCUCUUCCCUAGGCAAGACCUAUAUCUAGAAUUAAGUUUUUCCCCUUCAUGAAAAGAUAAUGGAAAGUGGAUACCAAAGGCCAACUGUACUUUUUGAACUUAUUUAGUCAAAAAAUCAACCCCCAAAUCCUUGGCCAACCAAUCCACAAGGCAAUUACGAGUACUGUACCUUAACUCUUAUAUUUAAAAAAGGAACCACUCCCUGCUAUACAAUGUAGAAGCACCAACGCUCUCUGCCACAGUGCUGCUUCUGACUUUUAUGAAUACCUGGGCAAGACAACAGAGGCACCAGCAGCUCUUUAGCACUUCCCCUCAAAGGUGCACCACUUUUUGAUAAGAGUUAAUACUAUACGAUAACUUUUAUCAAGAAAGGAAUCAUCCACUUCUCUUAAGUAGAGAGGUGAAAGGCCUUUUUGAAUGCCUGGGUAGGGAAAUGGCUGUGGCAACCAGAAGCUGUCCCCUCUUAGAUAAAUGAUCCAUGACUUAUCCACGUAUCAUAUCUAAAUCCAUAAUUGUUUCCCCAAAACCUUCCAUUAAUACUCAUACACAAUGUCAGAUUAUAUAUAAGUACCGUAUAUGGGUUUUUUUUUUCAAAUUGUGAUUUGCAGAGGCCUUGAGGAAUACAUUUGGUUUUGUAAAUGUAACUUCCUCUGUGCUUCCUGUUUGUUUUUUGGUCCAAAGAGAAGACAAGUCAUGUUUUCCAGAAUGCAUUGCUACUUUAGAAUUUGCCAUUAAUCUUCCCUGCGUCACCUUGAGGAGAUAGGACAGAAUACAAAUAAAGUUAUCAUUAUUAUUAUUAUUAUUAUUGGCACAACAACAUUGUAUGACACAGCAAACAAGAUAGAUAUGCUGGAUUUCAUAUCACAAAAUCACAAGUUGAACACUUCCCAAGUGUCUAGGACUGUGUGAUGUAUUUUCAGAUGAUGCGCGCAGAUCCCAGUAGGGUGGCCUUUUGCAGUUGGCAGAUCGUGAUUUUGUCAAUGCCUAUUGUUUCCAAAUGCCGGCUGAGAUCUUUUGGCACAUUAUUAUUAUAUUUGGGGGAGGGCUAAGAGAGGGAAAGGGGGCACUGUGGGACCUUAAGAUUCCACCCCCAGUGUCUAAUUUGGGGAUUUGGAUAUUCCAUAUAGACAACACACAAGUAUAGAGCUCACAGAUGAAAAAAGAGAAGCGGAACACACUAAGCAAACAGCAUGAAUGAAAAUCAAGAUGAAAUCUAAAUAUCAUGAAGGUAUAAUGAUAUAUGAUCAUGCAAGUUAAUCUCAAUCAGCCCUGGUUAAUAUGUGGGUGGGAGGCCAAGACGUAAUGGCAGGUGCUGUAAGAUAAUUUUUAAAGGAAGACAAUGUUAAAUCACUUUGAAUGUCAUGGGAUUUCUCUUAAUUGGCAAGUCACUUGCAGGCACAUAGACACACAGUGGUAUGAUGGGGGAAGGGGGACACUAGCCACAGUUCUCAUGGAACCUAGCUGGGGUUUUCACUUUAAAUUUUAGUCUGCUGCUUUUAUAUUUAUUUAGACAUAGAUGCUUUUCAUUCUUUCAUUAAACGUUCUGAUUAGAUUACAGAACGUGUAAUACUGAAGUAACUAGAUUAAUAUUAAGAUACACGUGGAACCUGAAAUAUAGCCCCUACUCUAUAAUAUGACCCCUUCACCACUUCUUCCAAAUAAGAGGCAUACAAUCCUUUCAAAUGAUGCUUACUUUCAGAUUCGGUAUGCUUCUCUUGUGAAAGAUAUUUAGCACCUAGUAAUAAAGACCACUUCGGCAAGCCAUGUUGUCUACACUCAUAUGUGUAGCAAUAGUGGGGCUGGCUCUAUAUCACUAUGUUACACAAUUUUUGUUCCUGGGUUAUAAAUGUCAUUUUCUAAUUGAUUCUAUCAUUAAAACAUGGAAAAAGUUUAUUAAACUGCAAAAGCUUUGUUUUUGUGGGACAUCCUACAGCACAUUUUGCAAUAGUUUUUCACUGAAGAUCUCAUUGAGUCUCAACCACUUCAACAUAGUUUGUGGCAGCCACAAAAAUGAAGUUUAAGGAGUAUAACAAUUACUUUUAAUGUAAGGACCACACAAUUAAACAGGAAAUAAUACUUUCAAACCAGAAACAGAUUUUUUUAUUUAACUGUUUGUGAUUUCAUGAUAUAUGGAGAGAAGAAGCAGAAAACAUUAGAGGGGGUUGUCAAAAGCAAUAGAGAUCUCAGAAUGAAAGAUUUUUUAAGUAGCCUUAUGUAUUCAUUGAUGAAUUUACAUAAUUUAAUUGAUUUCAUCAGACUGGUAUUUGCACUAACAGCAUAUCCUAUUAUGGCAUUAUAUUGGUGGGGCUGGACUUCAUAGCUGAAAGGGAAUAACUUGGCUAUCAAACCUGGCCAGACUUUCUGGCCCCCUGAUAUUGAAGUAACUUACCAGGUAAUGGUUGAGAAUAGGUGUAUGAAGUGCUUAGGAAAAUGAAGUAUAACUUUCAUGAUAAAUAUGUCCUCUUGUAAAACAAGAAACACAUUCUAAAAUUAAUAUCCACGUUGCUUCGUCUUCAUAGUCAAAUAAUGCCCAAUUCUAACACAUUAGUUUAAACCUGACUUUUAAAAAGACAGGGAAUGAAGUUCAGUUCCCAUAAACCAGAAUGACUCCUCCAUCUCAUAACGCAUUAUGUGUGUAUGUUUUAUAGAGAGAAAUAUCUCAAGAUACUCAUGUUAGAUUUAGAUGGCUAGCUGUGUUUGUAAAAUCCAAAUGCAGUGGCAAGUGAUGGUCUUUAGUGUCCAUUGCUUGUAUAGAAAUGCAAGUUUGCAUUUCUGUUUCUGUGACUUCAAAGCCCACCUCUUUCAAAUCUCCUUACUCUUUGCUUGUUAUGAGUCAUCUCCAGGAGUUGCAAUUGCUUUUAUUGUGUAUGUGUUAUUCCCAAUUCCCGUUGCACUAUCAUUCCUAUUAUUGCCUCCUCCACUACUGAAAUUUACUUUGCAAACUCUUGGGGCUGGGCUCUACCCUUUUGCUUUAGUAAAGUUCUUUGUACAUUGAUAGCACAUAUAAAUUAAGUGAUGAAAUAUUAAGUUAUUAAUAUCUCUGUCCAGGACUCUUUGCCUUUUCAACCUAAAGAAUAAGACACAUCUAUAACAUAAUGUACCCACAAGAACCAUAUUGAAAUGCCUACAGAUCAUUGUGAUGGAUGUGUGCAAGUGCCUACUUAGUAUCUACUUAGUUAUACCUAGAGAGGAAAUUCUCAAACAAAUAGACAAACCACAGAUGUUCCUGAAAUAUAUAAAUUACAAUUAGAGAUGAAAUGAUGUGUUGUUCUAACAAACAUUUGUUCCCAAACCUAAAUUGCCAGUGGGAGUCAUACAGAGGCUGAGAGGACGGUUGGUAGUAGGACUUAAAGGUAAGCAGGGAGAUGUAGGUCCUUUUCAGCUCACUGAUUUUCUUUCCUAUAGAAGAAACACCAACCCAUUUCUUUGACACCUAGACAAGAAAAACAAAGAAUUGCUUCUUGCGGUGGUGGUACAAACCCCACAACUGUCCUGAUUUGGCAAGUACAGUUUUCCAACAACUUUAAGUUUCCCCUGUUUCUCUCUCCUUCCAUUUUCUUGCACUGUCCUCAACUGCUGCAAACUGAGUUCAGAGUGCAAAAGUAUUUUCCACACAGUUAAUUCAUCAGAGAAACGAGGAAAGGGCAGAAUCUUGCCCAUCCAACUGAGUAGGCAAAAGCAAACUGCUGCAACUCCUCCUAGCUUGUCUGUUCUUCCUCAUUAAUAACUUUUGUCAUGUUGACCAUAUUAUGAUUUUGUAUGGCCACACUUGUCCCAGUUUUCAUCUGUGAAAUAUUGAUAUGCCGGUAGGGUUCGAGAAAGCAUGAUGCUCAGUCCUACAUUUUGUUUCUCUCCUAUGAGAGUUCCUGCACAUGUGUAGCUAUGAGGCAAGAGAGCAGCUCAGAGGUAGACAACUUUGCCAGGUCUGAGGGCUUUAUUUCUGGUUACUUAAGAUGUCAGAUCUGGCCAUAGUAACACAUGCUUUCAUUAUAUCCUGGUUGGAUUACUGUAAUUCACCCUAAGUGGGACUGCCUAUGAGGAGUUUUCAAAAACUUCAACUGGUCCAAAGAAUCACGGUCAGAUUGUUAACUGCAGUUGACUCCUGGGUACAAUCAACUCCCAAAUUGGAGCAGCUCCAUUGGCUGCUGUUCCAUUUCUGGGAACAAUUCAAAGUACUUAUUAUGACCUGUAAAGCCUUAUAUGGCUCACGUCCAGAUUAUUUGAAGGACCAUCUUCACCCUUAUAAAGCAGCCUUUGAGAUCUAAUGAGGAGGCCCUUCUCUCUGUGCCGUUUGUUGAGAACACAAGAAAGGACCUUAUCAGUAGCUGUCCGAAGGCUAGAACUCCCUUCUAAGAGAAGAUGCAGACUGCAGCAUGCUUGCAUUUAGCUCCCCUGUUCCAUUUCUGGCUGUGCAGAAUAAAACCACUCUGCUUCUUGGCAUCACUUUUUAAUUCACCAGGAAAGCACUGGGAGCAAGUGCACCAACAAAACAUAUGAUUUGGCCAUUAUGAGAUGCUCUCUGUCCAUGGUUCCACUUCAUCAGCAAGAAGACCCUAAAGUUAAUUGGCUUCUUGAAACAUCUUGGUUUGUUUGAGUUAAUCCAAUAAUUAUAUAAUGUUGUGCGACAAAAGUAGAAAAUUGUGCUCUAUUGGCUGAGGCUCCAAGGAGGGUGGUGCUGAGGAAGAGCAAGGAAUGUAAAGAGAGACAGGAGAGAAAAUGUGGCUUGUUAGCCCUUCACAGUUUUCCACCCUCUUAAGCAAUCUAGAGAAUAGGUUGAACAUCUUCGUUAUAUUUAAAUUGAGAGAAUUAUAGUUUAUUCUAUCUUUUUGUUGUUGUUUAUUUAAUCAGUCGCUUCCGACUCUUUGUGACCUUGGAUUCAUAAAGGCCCACAUGUUGCAUGAUGUGUUCUGAAUAGGUAGGGUGAGAAUAUACAACCCUGUCAUACUCAAUGCGUUGUCGAAGGCUUUCAUGGCCAGGAUCACAGGGUUGUUGUAUGUCUUUCGGGCUGUGUGGCCAUGUUCCAGAAGUAUUCUCUCCUGACGUUUCGCCCACAUCUAUGGCAGGCAUCCUCAGAGGUUGUGAGGUAUGGAAAAACUAAGCAAAGAAUGUUUAUAUCUGUGGGAUGUCCAGGGUGAGAGAAUAACUCUUGUCAGUUUGACACCAUGCAGCUGUGGACAAGUAUACAUAGGGACCACCAAACGCAGCGCACAAACAAGAGUCAGAGAACAUGAAAGGCACUGAAGACUAAUUCAACCAGAGAAGUCAGCCAUAACAGACCACUUGAUGAACCAAUCUGGACACAGUAUAUUAUUUGAGAAGACAGAAAUGCUGGACCACUCUGACAAGCACCAUGUCAGACUACACAGAGAAGCCAUUGAAAUUCACAAACAUGUGGACAACUUCAACAGAAAGGAGGAAAUCAUGAAAAUGAACAAAAUCUGGCUAUCAGUAUUAAAAAAUUCAAAAAUCAGAACAGUAAAUAAGAAGCAACACUCUGAGACACGGGAACUAGGGGCAGUUAACAAAAAAUGCCCCCAGGCAGAAAGUAGCUAGUAGAUGUAGCCAUUCAAUGCAAAUUAGGGUGGUUAACUGGAACAUUUACGCUGGCCUCAAACUGACAAGAGUUCUUCUCUCACCCUGGACUUCCCACAGAUAUAUAUAAACAUUCCUUGCUUAGUUUUUCCAUACCUCACAACCUCUGAGGAUGCCUUCCAUAGAUGUGGGCGAAACGUCAGGAGAGAAUAUUUCUGGAACACACAGUCCGAAAGAUAUACAACAACCCUGUCAUACUCCUUUCCCAAUCUUGAACCAGUCUGUUGUUCUGUGGUCUGUUCUUACUGUUGCUGCUUGGUCGUUACACAGAUUCCUCAGGAGACAGAAAAGGUGACUUGGUAUCCCCAUACCACCAAGAAUUUGCCACAAUUUAUUAUGAUCCAUACAGUCAAAGGCUUUAGAAUAGUCAAUAAAAAAGAAAUAGAUGUUUUUCUGAAACUCCCUACCUUCCUCCAUUAUCCAGCAGAUAUUGGCAAAUUUGGUCUCUCGUUCCUCUGCCUAUUCUAAACCCAGCUGUACAUCUUUAUUCCAUCUUGGUCAUUGCAUAAAUCAUAGAAAAGGUCCUAAAUAGCCUAAAGGAUCAGAUCCCACUUGAUCUCAGAAGAUAUGAAGGAUCAG